Molecule: ribosomal RNA, 168 nt
Filed under: Triticum aestivum (bread wheat)
Lineage: Eukaryota; Viridiplantae; Streptophyta; Magnoliopsida; Poales; Poaceae
Description: partial small subunit ribosomal RNA
Source: RNAcentral
AAAAAAAGUCUUUACGCGAGAGCAAUAGAGUUUGGCAUACAUCUAUCUCUUCCGAGCAACCUCUUUUGGAUGCUUAAGACCAGCCUUGCAGUAGGAUACCAUCUACUUUGGGUUCUUUAUUAUCUCCUUCGAGGGAUUUUUAGGAUCGUUCAAGCUAUAUAUAUUUAG